ACGCUACUUUGUCCGGCAGGUCCUCCACGGGCGUACAGUCCCUCCCCGCUCUCCCAUCCACCGACCCUUUUCAACUGUCUGUGCUUGCGGCUGUGCUCCAUUCUUGUUUGUCUACUUGCGCGCGGUCCUCUUUGGCGGGAACUCCGCCACAUAGGCACUCACGCACGCGACACACCGCAAGAGCCACUGAGCGUUUCCUUCGUCUGCUCUCUCAUUGGAGGCGCUUUCUUCCCUCUUUACUGUUCGCCUCAGUGGUGAAUAUUGUGACGGUGGUAGCGAAGAGAAGUCAUGGAAACGAAAACGAACGGCAGUGGCCUUUAAGAAGUCUCAUCAAUAGAAUCCAUAACGCCCUGUGCUCGCCCUCAACUCCCUCCGUGCUUCUGUCCCCUCGAUAGACGCCUAAUCUCGUGGGCAGUUACGGACGCGCGUGGGCACGGCGAUGGGGUAGCACUUGCGUAAGGGCACGUUGGAGGCGAGGUAUCGUACUACCACUUCCUGUGUAUAGCCACUACACCAAAAACAAGAACAAAUCGCCAAGCGUCCGGAGGUGCCCUCCCCACGUGCGUUUCAUGUGCGUGUGCGCACCGCUGUUCUCGGGUGGCCGAGUGAUGGCCCUCUCCCCUCGAAGCAUUUUUCGCGCUAACCCCUCUCUCCUGUAUGUGGGCCUGUUUCUGUGUACAUGUGCCUGCCCUCUCUGACGCCUCUUUCACUUUCUUCCCUCCUCUUUCCUCUUUGCCCAUUCCCCCUGGCACACACCACCGACACACACACACACACACACACACACAACGGAGAGCAG
This 799-nucleotide unclassified non-coding RNA is filed under the name Leishmania donovani. RNAcentral describes it as "gene:unknown". The record is from RNAcentral. Lineage: Eukaryota; Euglenozoa; Kinetoplastea; Trypanosomatida; Trypanosomatidae.